Molecule: unclassified non-coding RNA, 1076 nt
Filed under: Zea mays
Lineage: Eukaryota; Viridiplantae; Streptophyta; Magnoliopsida; Poales; Poaceae
Description: misc RNA Zm00001eb291650
Source: RNAcentral
GCCGCCUCCUCCCUAGACCUAGGGGGAUCCCGCCGUGAAGUCGACGUGGUAGACCUCGCUCAUGUCCGGCUGGAAGAGGCCGAAGUGCUGCUCCACGCCCUCGGCCUUGCCGUUCUCGUUGAACAUGGCGAAAAGGUACGUCUCCACGGCCUUCCCUGGCCGGCGCGGGGUACCGCCGCCGACGUGCCGCACCACGUUGUUGUUGUACGCCGCGGCAUUCUCCACGGUGGCGCCCUCGCCGCCGGCCGACGGCCAGCCGGUCUCCGACACCACCAGCUCCAGCCCCUGGACCCCGGCUUUCUCCACCGCGGCGUGCGUCGCGUCCACGAUAGCGUCGAACAUGUUGGUGUAGACCACCCCGGCGUCCGUGACCGACGACGCCGCGCCGGCGUCCGCCGACAGCAGCGCGUACCCGAGCGCCACCUGCCCGCCGCUGCUCGAGUAGGCGAAGUACGGGUAUACGUUGACCAGCAGCGGCGCGCCCUUCGACGACAGGUACGAGACGAUGGGCGCCAUCACCGACGCGGCCGCCUCGGAGAAUGCGCCCUGGGACGGCGGGUACGAGGCGCCGAGCACGCUGGUGGCCACGGCCGUGGUGACGGGGACGCCCGUGACCCCCGCGGACCGGAGCGCCGACUCCAGGUUCUGCAUGGCCGGGAGCACCCGCGCCGCGGCGUCCCCCGGGAUGACCUCGUUGCCGGCGUUGAUGUACCGGAACUGGACGGCGCCGGCGAAGGGCUGCACGUUCGUGGCCACCCACGACGCGGCGAAGGACGGGUCGGACGCCAGGCGCGGGAGGUCCUCGUUCAGCGUGCCCAGGACGACGCCGACGCCGGAGCCGCGGAGCGCGUUCAACGCGUCCGUGUCCGGGUGGAAGAGCCGCACGUAGCUGAUGUUCUUGGCCUUGUACAUGGAGACGACCUGCUCCGGCGCCGGCAGGUUGUUGGCGACCAUGCCGUAGUUCACGCCAAUCGCGCCUUCAGCUCCUGCGUUAUUAGUUUGAUGAUUGAUGGCUCAGGAUUAGAUUGGAUCAUCAACUAAAACAAAAAAAAAGUGAAUUUUAUCUUCAACACGAG